This 946-nucleotide ribosomal RNA is filed under the name Eubacterium sp. JF08-1. RNAcentral's name for it is "bacterial SSU rRNA". It matches the Rfam family "Bacterial small subunit ribosomal RNA". Lineage: Bacteria; Bacillati; Bacillota; Clostridia; Eubacteriales; Eubacteriaceae. The record is from RNAcentral.
GNNGUAANNUGAGUAGGNNCAUCUCCUGUGCCUUCUCCUGCCUGGAGAACUACGUGGGGAGGGACUCAGGGCAGGGGACUACCUUGCUGUUUCCUGUUGGGGAUGCUCCUUUUCCCCCUUUUGGGAAGAGUGGAUGUUAUCUUUGAGAAAACAAUUUGUCUUCGAUUAAAGGGGUUUUUAAUGAGCCUAGUCCCCGUUUAAACUGUUCGUCCGGCCUCCUCUCACCCUCAACAUUAUCCAAAACGGGCCUCAGAGGAUGAUCAGGCAAACUGGAACUGAGCCAUUUUCCAUACUCCUCUUAUAACCAGCAGUGGGGAAUCUAGGACAAUGGGUGACGGCCUGAUCCUGCCAUGCCUUGUGUGACAAGAAUGCCUUCGGAUUGUAAAGCACUUUAAGUUGGGAGGAAGGGCAUUAACCUAAUACGUUGGUGUCUUGACGUUACCGACCGAAUAAGCACCGGCUAACUCUGUGACAGACCUUCGCGGCACUACAGAGGGGGCAAGCGUUAAUCGGAAUUACUGGGCGUAAAGCGCGCGCUGGUGGCUCGCUAAGGUGGAUGUGAAAUCCCCGGGCUCAACCUGUGAAACUGCAUUCUCUCUGACCGAGCUAGAGAUAUGGUAGAGGGUGGUGGAAUUUCCUGUGUACUAGUGAAAUGCGUAGAUAUAGGAAGGAUAGCAGUGGCGAAGGCGACCACCUGGACUGAUACUGACACUGAUGUGCGAAUACGUGUCGGAGUACACAGGAUUAGAUCCCCUGGCAGGCAGCAUUCCUAGACGAUGUUCACUCGUCGUUGGGAGCUCUUGAGCUCUUAGUGGCUCUCUUCACGCUAUUAAGGUGAGCGCCUGGGGAGUACGCACGCUUCGAUCUGACUCACGNAUGUCUCGAGNNNAGCCNUAAGUCUUUGGCUUUUCUGGUUAUCACACACUUAAACCCGNUCNNGUANUAU